UGGGGAAUAUUGGACAAUGGGCGAAAGCCUGAUCCAGCCAUGCCGCGUGUGUGAAGAAGGUCUUCGGAUUGUAAAGCACUUUAAGUUGGGCGGAAGGGCAGUAAGCGAAUACCUUGCUGUUUUGACGUUACCGACAGAAUAAGCACCGGCUAACUCUGUGCCAGCAGCCGCGGUAAUACAGAGGGUGCAAGCGUUAAUCGGAAUUACUGGGCGUAAAGCGCGCGUAGGUGGUUCGUUAAGUUGAAUGUGAAAGCCCCGGGCUCAACCUGGGAACUGCAUCCAAAACUGGCGAGCUAGAAUAGGGCAGAGGGUGGUGGAAUUUCCUGUGUAGCGGUGAAAUGCGUAGAUAUAGGAAGGAACACCAGUGGCGAAGGCGACCACCUGGGCUCAUACUGACACUGAGGUGCGAAAGCGUGGGGAGCAAACAGG
Molecule: ribosomal RNA, 429 nt
Filed under: Pseudomonadota bacterium
Lineage: Bacteria; Pseudomonadati; Pseudomonadota
Description: Proteobacteria bacterium partial 16S ribosomal RNA
Rfam family: Bacterial small subunit ribosomal RNA
Source: RNAcentral